CUCACCUUCUAAAGAACCGUAAUGCCAUUAAUUUGGUGUCACGGGGAAUUAGGACUGUUACCUUGAAAAAAUUAGAGUGUUUAAAGCAGGCUCACGCUUGAAUACAUUAGCAUGGAAUAAUGAAAUAGGAUAUCCGAUUCUAUUUUGUUGGUUUCUAGGAUCGAUGUAAUGAUUAAUAGGGACAGUCGGGGGCAUCAGUAUUCAAUUGUCAGGGGUGAAAUUCUUGGAUUUAUUGAAGACUAACUACUGCGAAAGCAUUUGCCAAGGAUGUUUUCAUUAAUCAGGAACGAAAGUUAGGGGAUCGAAGACGAUCAGAUACCGUCGUAGUCUUAACCAUAAACUAUGCCGACUAGGGAUCGGACGGUGUUAUUUUUUGACCCGUUCGGCGCCUUACGGGAAAC
RNAcentral lists this ribosomal RNA (401 nucleotides) under uncultured Glomus. Its description in RNAcentral is "SSU rRNA". It matches the Rfam family "Eukaryotic small subunit ribosomal RNA", at positions 695 to 1098 of the family's 1831-position model. The record is from RNAcentral. Lineage: Eukaryota; Fungi; Glomeromycota; Glomeromycetes; Glomerales; Glomeraceae.